AAAGAGUCAAAAGAGUGAAAUUAACCCCAGAGUAUACGUGAUGCACGAGAAAAAGAGAAAGAAAAAUCACACAACAUGACUGCCGAGUUCAAAACCCUUUGUUAUCCAUUUUUUGUUUAUCCCACCGUACCCAAGCCUCGUUACAACCUAAAAGACCUCGUAUAGUGUGUGGAAUCUGCUGUUGUCGUGAAAUUAGAAUGUAUUCAAAUUUAAGAGUUU
RNAcentral lists this long non-coding RNA (219 nucleotides) under Lathyrus oleraceus (garden pea). Its description in RNAcentral is "Pisum sativum (pea) long non-coding RNA (PSAT_LNC021339)". Lineage: Eukaryota; Viridiplantae; Streptophyta; Magnoliopsida; Fabales; Fabaceae. The record is from RNAcentral.